RNAcentral lists this long non-coding RNA (2435 nucleotides) under Gossypium barbadense (sea-island cotton). RNAcentral's name for it is "long non-coding RNA (GBAR_LNC019370)". Lineage: Eukaryota; Viridiplantae; Streptophyta; Magnoliopsida; Malvales; Malvaceae. The record is from RNAcentral.
AAGCAUUCACUUAUUUAAUAUUAAAUCAACUUGAACUUUACAUACAUAUCAUAUCACUUGCCAAUAAAAAUAUGACACUGAUACUGUAACAUCCCAUACUCGACUCGAUCGCUAGAUUCGGGUACCAGAUGCUACAAGAACCCGUUUGAUUUCACUAUACACCCGUGAUAAAUUCAAUUACAUAUAAUAGCCACCUUAACACAUUGGCCUAAUUACCACUAACAUCAAACACUAAAGAAAUUCCAUAAUGUUUUCUUAUGACCUUAGUUUCUAUGCUUAGUUUCAUUGUUUACAUUUAAUCCCACAACUAUUAUGUUUGCCUUAACCCCCAAAACGAAGCCUCUAUAGGUGCCACUCUACAUAUACUUUUAACUUCUUCUAUGCUACACUGAUCAGACGAUAGCUAGCUUGGUCCCUUCAUUUACCUCUCUUGUCACACUUUAUCCUGCAAUUCAGCAGUAAACCUAUAAGUUCUGAUGAACUUAGUGAGAAUCUGCUAAACAAUAUUAUAUAGCCAAUUUGCAAGAGAACGAUAAUAAACAAGUUUUGGGCAAAUAUUUCAACUCCCUAUUUCCUCUUGGUAUAUUACAGAGCUUGCCCGAGAUGUUGCCUCUCUAUUUCUCUUAUAGCCUCUAACUGUCCCAACUCAAUAUUUUUAUAAGAACAAGUGCAUUCCUUCAUGAUAUUGAUCACAUGAUGGGGCGACCUAAUUCUGUCAUACUCCGACUUUACCUUCUUACCCAUUCUUGGUUAUUUAUGGCGAAUUGCUAUCUGCUAGGUAGUCAACGAGCUUAUUUCACCUAUUGCGGACCCUUAUUUACGAAUCCUCAUUGUUCGGGAUUCACUGGAUCACCUGUUGCCACUUGCUACUCUCAUAAUAUGUGUCGCCUUUCUGACGGACUUGGUUUAUGUACUGUUGGCCAUAAUUUGCAUCGUCUUUGGCGAAUUCCUUUAUUAAUCCAUAGAUCCACACCUUUCAGACGCACCUCGCUUAUGCAUACAUGCAAUUUAUUGUGUCAUUCACGUUGUUCUUUAGAUCUUAAUCCAUGAUCUACCUCUAAUAUAGAAAGCUUCCCCAUUGGGGUCCCACAUCUUACAUUCUUAGUAGAUCUUCCCGCAUUUGCUAUUCCGACGGGCCUUCUCACUUUCUUGAAUAAAUGUCUUGCAUUGCAACUCGAGAAAAUAUUUUUGGACAUUUGGGUUUUGAAAUUUCAAGGGAUCCAAAACCAAUAGUGCUUCUUGUUCAAUAGUUCUUCUAGACUUUUUAGAAGGCAUUUUUAAUGAUAUUUAAACUAGAAGACUUAAUCGAAAUCAAACAAUAUAUUUAGAUAAACAAAAGAAUAAUGUAAUAAAAUAGUUAAGAUAGGAAUCCUUAACCUCGGUUUGGAAGUUCGUGAUUCCUCACGAAGGUGUGUUGUAACUACCUUGUUGGUGUGACACUUUUGUCCUUGCACAAUAUAAGAAAAAAAAGAAGAAAAAGAAGAGUUUGAGAGGUUUUAGAAUUAGAGGGAAUUUAGAAAUAGGUUAAAAGUGUUUAAGUUUAAAAAAAUUAGUGUUUUUAAGCAAAAAAUUGGGUAAAAUAAGGGUUAAAACCAUUGGGUUGUGCGAUGGUUCGGGUCGACCUUGCAGAAAAUUGCAUCGAUGUCGCAACAUAAGGGUUCCAUGUCACGACACCUCUGGCAAGAUACCGAUGUCGCGACACGCCUUGAAUUUUUGAAUUCUAAGGUAAAUUGACUUCUUUGUCGAGACACGGAGGGGUUGUGUCACGUAUCGAGCUGAAUUGCUCGAUUUUAUGAACCUGUGUUUGGUGUUGCAACACGGAGGUUCCGUGUUGUGACACCGACUUUGUUUUGGCCCCUCCUCUUAAAUUUCAAAGUGCUUGGAAUAAAUGUUUAAACAAUUGUAGUGCCAAUAUGCUUAGACCCAACAACAUUAAGAAGAAGAUAGUCACUGUUGCAUUCAACAUUAGUCUCAAUCUUUUGAGAAAGAAAAAUAAUAAAAGGAGGAACAUGCCUUCUAAGAAUUCCUUUGUUGUCGUUUCCCAAUUCACCGCUUCCCAAACCAUCACCACUGUCGUGAACCAUUGCCCCACCCAUUGAAGUCCUUGUACCCAUUAUCAUACCCCAACAAUAGCAACAUUGAGCCAAUAACCAAAAAGCCGCAAUAAAAAAAAUAUAUAUAUUCCCUUGUUUUGAAGAGUCCUAAAAACUUAAAGAAUGAGACUUGUGGCGGUGGUGAGUUGGGAAGCGACAGACAGGGGUUUUAAAAACAAAAAAUAAAAAAGAGAAGGGGACAACAAAAGUGAGAGCGAUCGGAGAAGGUAAUUGGAGGCCGAGCAACGGUGCUGGAGCUUAGGCAGCGAAGACGUCGACAAUACAAAGGGGAGACUAGAGUUUUCAGUUGACAUAAGAUUGCUGAUAAACCUAAUCCAUUAG